Molecule: ribosomal RNA, 406 nt
Filed under: uncultured bacterium
Lineage: Bacteria
Description: partial 16S ribosomal RNA
Rfam family: Bacterial small subunit ribosomal RNA
Source: RNAcentral
AUUGAACGCUGGCGGCAGGCCUAACACAUGCAAGUCGAACGAGUGGCGGACGGGUGAGUAAUGUCUGGGAAACUGCCUGCUGGAGGGGGAUAACUACUGGAAACGGUAGCUAAUACCGCAUACCAUCAGAUGUGCCCAGAUGGGAUUUGCUAGUUGGGGGGGUAACGGCUCACCAAGGCGACGAUCCCUAGCUGGUCUGUGAGGAUGACCAGCCACCCUGGAACUGGGACACGGUCUAGACUCCUACGGGAGGCAGCAUUGGGGAAUAUUGCACAAUGGGCGCAAGCCUGAUGCAGCCAUGCCGCGUGUAUGAAGAAGGCCUUCGGGUUGUAAAGUACUUGCAGCGGGGAGGCGUUACCCGCAGAAGAAGCACCGGCUAACUCCGUGCCAGCAGCCGCGGUAAUUC